Molecule: long non-coding RNA, 1953 nt
Organism: Benincasa hispida (wax gourd)
Lineage: Eukaryota; Viridiplantae; Streptophyta; Magnoliopsida; Cucurbitales; Cucurbitaceae
Source: RefSeq, a predicted model, not a curated record
AAACGUCAUUCCGUUCGUUGGGUUUUGCCUAUUUUCACCACAGGUCGUCCACCCGCACUGCUGUCCCACCUCGCCCACGCUUUUGGGUUGUUCAUUUCACUACUGUUUGGCCCACCGACACAGUUCGAAUGCCGUUUUGGGGAUGAGAUUUGGAAGGAAGGGCGCUGCUGUCCGUUUGGUUCAAGUGAAGAGCAAGCAAGGAAUUGUUUGAAGGUUCCAAGUCAUCGUCCGUUGGGAUUAGAAUCUGUUUAAGAGGAGAUUUCAAAGUUAAAAUGUUGGGAGUGCUUAUGGAUCAAGUUUUGUUUAGGUAAGUUAAUUGGUGAUCGUUGGAUUAAAUGUGAUAUGUGUUGGUUUUGGCUUCAAAUAUUGAAUUAUGGUGUGUAGUUUUGUGCUAGGGGAUUUAAUUCGGAGCUUACUUUCGUUGGAGACUUUUUUCUUGGGUUGAUUUUGGAUUUGAUUUCGAGCUAAGUAAUCUUACUACUAGAAAUGUCCUAGUGCCAGACAAUGAUAACUAUGAUUUAUUGAGGAUUAUUGGGAUAACUAUGAUUUAUUGAGGAUUAUUGGGAUAACUAUAAUUUAUUGAGGAUUAUUGGUUAGCAUGAUGCUAUGUAUGCCUUCAUUGAUUGAGGUUUCAAAGGAUUGGAACCAAGUAUUGAUACUUAUGAUUUAUUAAGGAUUAUUAGUUAGCAUGAUGUUUAUGCAUGCCUUCAUUGAUGGAGGUUUGAAAGGACUAGAUGCGCAUAGAGAUAUAUGAAUGCUAGCACGAUUUGAGUAUAUUAUUAUUCUUGGAGAUUCUGUUAAAUCUGAGGAUGAUGAGAUGUAUAUGUAUGUUAUAGGACUAUGAUGACAAAACUUAUAUGUAUGUUAUAGAACUAUGAUGAUGAGAUGUAUAUGUAUGUUAUAGAACCAUGUUCUGAUACUUGUGAUGUAGAGAUCGUGAUAAUGUCCUCACUGAUUAGUUAGAUGCCUACUAGAGGUUGUGUGUCCUUCGAGAUUCACUAGAGGUGGUGCUUUCCUUUGAGAUUCACCAGAGGUUGUGUGUCCUUCGAGAUUCACUAGAGGUGGUGGUUUCCUUUGGGAUCCACCAGAGGUUGGGUGUCCAUCAAGAUUCACUAGAGGUGGUGGUUUCCUUCACGAUCCACCAAAGGUUGUGUUUCCUUUGGGAUUCACUAGAGGUGGUGCUUUCCUUUGGGAUUCACCAGAGGUUGUGUUUCCUUCGAGAUUCAUUAGAGGUGGUGCUUUCCUUUGGGAUUCACCAGAGUUGUGUUUUCUUCAUGAUCCACUAGAGGUGGUGUCUAGUAGAGGUAAUGGGUAUACUUAACUACAGUAGAAUCAAAAUAAGUUAUUAAUGUAUGAGUCCCAUGAGGACUAGAGGAGUUUACGUGUACCACCAGAGAUAGGCAUCUAGAGGACAAUGGAAGUUGAGUAUGUUGCUGCAAGUAAAGCAACAAAAGAAGCAGUACGACUCAGAAAGUUCCUGACUGACUUGGAAGUGGUUUCAAAUAUGCACCUGUUGCUCACUUUAUAUUGUGAUAACAGUGCAACAAUUGCAAACUCAAAGGAAUGUAGAACCCACCAACGUGGAAAACACAUCGAACAAAAGUACCAUCUCAUCAGGGAGAUUGUACACAGAGCAGACGUGAUUGUCAUGCAGAUAACCUCACAAGACAAUUUAGUUGAUCCAUUUAGAAAGGCCCUCUCGGCUAAAGUGUUCGAGGGUCACCUAGUCGGACUAAGACUACGAGAUACUUAGAAUUGGGGCAUGCGGGAGAAAUCAUGGGUAUUUGAUGCCCUAAUUUAUUGUAUCUAUUCUUUUUGUUUUCUCUCAUUGAACUCAAUACUGUAUAUAUUUAUCCAGUGGCGUUUUAGUCUAAGUGGGAGUUUGUUGGUUUGUAUGUCUUAAAACUCACAAUUUGUAGAUUUAAACAUUUUCUAUUAUCAAUAAAGAUGGUA